RNAcentral lists this ribosomal RNA (156 nucleotides) under Nicotiana attenuata. Its description in RNAcentral is "rRNA 5_8S_rRNA". It matches the Rfam family "5.8S ribosomal RNA". Rfam says of the family: 5.8S ribosomal RNA (5.8S rRNA) is a component of the large subunit of the eukaryotic ribosome. It is transcribed by RNA polymerase I as part of the 45S precursor that also contains 18S and 28S rRNA. Functionally, it is thought that 5.8S rRNA may be involved in ribosome translocation. Lineage: Eukaryota; Viridiplantae; Streptophyta; Magnoliopsida; Solanales; Solanaceae. The record is from RNAcentral.
GACUCUCGACAACGGAUAUCUCGGCUCUCGCAUCGAUGAAGAACGUAGCGAAAUACGAUGCUUGGUGUGAAUUGCAGAAUCCCAUGAACCAUCGAGUCUUUGAACGCAAGUUGCGCCCGAAGCCAUUAGGCCGAGGGCACGUCCGCCUAGGCAUCA